UGGGGAAUAUUGCACAAUGGGGGAAACCCUGAUGCAGCGACGCCGCGUGAGCGAUGAAGGCUUUCGAGUCGUAAAGCUCUGUCCUAUGGGAAGAUAAUGACGGUACCAUAGAAGAAAGCCCCGGCUAAUUACGUGCCAGCAGCCGCGGUAAUACGUAAGGGGCGAGCGUUGUCCGGAAUUAUUGGGCGUAAAGAGUGCGUAGGCGGCAAAUUAAGUCAGAUGUGAAAACUAAGGGCUCAACCCAUAGAUUGCAUCUGAAACUGAUAUGCUUGAGUCAAGGAGAGGAAAGUGGAAUUCCUAGUGUAGCGGUGGAAUGCGUAGAUAUUAGGAGGAAUACCGGUGGCGAAGGCGACUUUCUGGACUUGAACUGACGCUGAGGCACGAAAGCGUGGGGAGCAAACAGG
This 404-nucleotide ribosomal RNA is filed under the name Bacteroidota bacterium. Its description in RNAcentral is "Bacteroidetes bacterium partial 16S ribosomal RNA". It matches the Rfam family "Bacterial small subunit ribosomal RNA", at positions 355 to 776 of the family's 1533-position model. RNAcentral also lists the same sequence under 4 other names. The record is from RNAcentral. Lineage: Bacteria; Pseudomonadati; Bacteroidota.